This 944-nucleotide long non-coding RNA is filed under the name Sinocyclocheilus anshuiensis. RNAcentral describes it as "lncRNA (ENSSANG00000030859.1)". Lineage: Eukaryota; Metazoa; Chordata; Actinopteri; Cypriniformes; Cyprinidae. The record is from RNAcentral.
UUACAGGGUUUUCAGUCACACACAGAGCUGAUGUGGAUGUUUCUACUCCUCAUCGAUUCACUUUUUACAGUCAUCAGAAGAGGAGAUUGUGGAGGGACGUGAUAUGUGACAGAUCACAUGUGGAGUAUCAGACCCUACAGACGAGAUAAAGGCAUUCAAUGAGAGAUGGACAGCAGAGAGAAAGACUCACUAAAGCUUAUUCGCAGAGACAGCAUGCAGCAAAAACCAAACAUGAGUCUGGAUUUAGACGGCCAUGUAGAGUUUCAUUCAGGUGAAUCAGAAACAGUCACAGAUGAGGUCACGGCAGUACAUCCCUCUUUUGCUGAGCUCUUCAGCUCCUUCAUCUUCAUCUGUUAUUCAGCAGUCAGUAAUGGCUCAGUAUGUCUCGCUCUGCUGGACACCACACAUGUAGCACAAGAGGACGAUUAAAGGGAGAGUUCAGCAAAAAAAAAAAAAAAAAAGAAAAUUCUGUCGUCAUCAUUCACUCACCCUCAAGUUGCUCCAAACCUGAUAUUUUAAAGAAUGCUGGUAAGAGAACAGUUUCUGGUAGCCAUUGACCUCCAUAGUAUAGAAAAAAAAUACUAUGGAAGUCAAUGGCUGCCAGCAACUGUUUGGUUACCAACAUUCUUCAAAAUACCUUCUUUUGUGUUCAACAGAAGAAAGAAACUCAUACAGGUUUGGAAUAACGUGAGGGUGAUUAAAUGAUGAGAGAACUGUCCCUUUAAGUCUUGUGUGUUAGUUUUAAGGGAAAGACAUCGUACAGUACAUCCGUGUAAAACACUGUAGGUUGUCAGUUUACUGUGAGUGUUAAACUCUAGAUUAUCUGUGGUAUUUUAAAGCUUUUCGGUCAUGGUGUUUGAUCUGAAAGUGGAGCUCAGAAAACAUUUCACCAGCAUUUUGCACAUUGCUUGAUAUGUUCUCCUCAUUUUACUUGUUUCAGAGCC